GACUUCAUAGGCCAGGUUGGCGACGCGUAUUCUUGGGGAAUUAACACACAUUUGCGCUGUUAUUGCUUGAGAAUACACGUAGUUUGCCUGGUCGUUCACU
Molecule: non-coding RNA, 100 nt
Organism: Apis mellifera (honey bee)
Lineage: Eukaryota; Metazoa; Arthropoda; Insecta; Hymenoptera; Apidae
Gene: Mir137
Product: microRNA 137
Exons: 1
Source: RefSeq, marked provisional